RNAcentral lists this ribosomal RNA (253 nucleotides) under uncultured bacterium. RNAcentral describes it as "partial 16S ribosomal RNA". It matches the Rfam family "Bacterial small subunit ribosomal RNA", at positions 524 to 776 of the family's 1533-position model. The record is from RNAcentral.
UACGUAGGGGGCGAGCGUUGUCCGAAGUUACUGGGCGUAAAGGGCGCGUAGGCGGGGCGUCAAGUCCGCUGUGAAAGCCCGGAGCUUAACUCCGGUAGGUCGGUGGAGACUGGCGCUCUUGAAGAGGCUAGAGGGAGAUGGAAUUGCCGGUGUAGUGGUGAAAUGCGUAGAGAUCGGCAGGAACACCCAGGGGGAAACCAGUCGACUGGGCAUCUACUGACGCUGAGGUGCGAGAGCGUGGGGAGCGAACCGG